Molecule: unclassified non-coding RNA, 1113 nt
Filed under: Hevea brasiliensis (rubber tree)
Lineage: Eukaryota; Viridiplantae; Streptophyta; Magnoliopsida; Malpighiales; Euphorbiaceae
Source: RNAcentral
CCUUCAUUUGAUGCUGGUGAAGCAUUUGCUAUGAUGAUGGCUGCAUUUGUUGCUCUUGUUGAGUCCACUGGUGCCUUUAUUGCAACUACGAGAUAUGCAAGUGCUACUCCAUUGCCACCAUCUGUACUCAGCAGAGGUGUAGGCUGGCAGGGAAUUGGCAUUUUGCUGUCUGGCUUGUUUGGCACUGGGAAUGGAUCUUCUGUAUCUGUUGAAAAUGUGGGGCUUUUAGCACUGACGCGUGUUGGUAGCAGAAGAGUAGUUCAGAUAGCUGCUGGAUUUAUGAUUUUCUUUUCAAUUCUUGGAAAAUUUGGAGCAGUCUUUGCGUCAAUACCAACAUCGAUUGUAGGUGCUUUGUAUUGCAUUUUAUUCGCUUAUGUGGGCGUAGGUGGCUUAAGCUUCCUUCAGUUUUGCAAUCUGAACAGUUUCCGUAGCAAGUUCAUACUAGGCUUCUCCAUCUUUCUGGGUUUGUCAAUUCCGCAGUACUUCAAUGAACACACAGUUAUUGAGGGUUAUGGACCUGUUCACACGAGUGGACGAUGGUUCAACGAUAUGGUUAACGUGCCAUUCUCAUCGGAAGCUUUUGUUGCGGGUAUCCUGGCUUAUUUCUUGGACAACACAAUGCACAAAAGGGAUGGUCAGGUAAGGAAAGACAGAGGCAAGCCAUGGUGGGACAAGUUCAAGUCUUUCAAGACGGACACGAGAAGUGAGGAAUUCUAUUCCCUCCCAUUCAAUCUCAACAAGUAUUUCCCAUCCGUGUGAUCGCCCCGUCCUUUAUCAUGGAGAUAGAAGGGUCAUAUACUCACAUGCCAUAUCAUCACUAGCCCUUCAAGAGCUGUGUAUUGGUGCGCAUUAAUGCAGUGCCACCAAUUUGCUUUUAUAUUUACUGGCUACUUCCCAAAGGUAUAAUUAAUUAGUCUUGACAUUUGUUAAUUGUUGUCUUUCUUGUAAAUCCAAGGUUAUAUGUACUAUGAAUAGUAAUAGAAUAAGCUUUGCUUCUUUCAAAUUGUAUGGUGAUUUCAGUAGCAAUAAGCCUGUUCGAUAUGAGUAGUAUCGAGCUGAUUUUGUGAUAGUAUUACUGAUGCGGAAGAUUGUGGCUAAACUAGCAGAUAAUCU